AUAUAUAUAUAUAAAGUCGAAGAUCAUCCCUUUUCCCUGUGGGCCAUUAAAGAGAUUAAGACUGUAGGAGAUGUAGUGGAGAAUGACAUCGUGAAGUCUUUUUGAAUAGCUUAAGAAAUACAAUCUUCCUCAACA
Thalassophryne amazonica is the source of this 135-nucleotide long non-coding RNA. RefSeq lists it as uncharacterized. The record is from RefSeq and is a predicted model, not a curated record. The transcript is spliced from 3 exons. NCBI's taxonomy places the organism in Eukaryota, Metazoa, Chordata, Actinopteri, Batrachoidiformes, Batrachoididae.